UACGUGGGGGGCAAGCGUUGUCCGGAUUUACUGGGCGUAAAGGGCUCGUAGGUGGCCAACUAAGUCAGACGUGAAAUCCCUCGGCUUAACCGGGGAACUGCGUCUGAUACUGGAUGGCUUGAGUUCGGGAGAGGGAUGCGGAAUUCCAGGUGUAGCGGUGAAAUGCGUAGAUAUCUGGAGGAACACCGGUGGCGAAGGCGGCAUCCUGGACCGACACUGACACUGAGGAGCGAAAGCCAGGGGAGCAAACGGG
Molecule: ribosomal RNA, 253 nt
Filed under: uncultured bacterium
Lineage: Bacteria
Description: partial 16S ribosomal RNA
Rfam family: Bacterial small subunit ribosomal RNA
Source: RNAcentral